This 483-nucleotide unclassified non-coding RNA is filed under the name Hevea brasiliensis (rubber tree). The record is from RNAcentral. Lineage: Eukaryota; Viridiplantae; Streptophyta; Magnoliopsida; Malpighiales; Euphorbiaceae.
GUUGACCCCUAUCUGAAGGGGAAGAUUGCGCCUGAAUGCUUCAAAAAGUUUGCUGAGACUGCAAUGAAAUGUGUGGCUGAUCAGGGCAUUGACAGGCCAUCCAUGGGAGAUGUGCUAUGGAACCUAGAGUUUGCUUUGCAGCUACAAGAGAGCGCAGAGGAGAGUGGCAAAGGUAUCAGCGGAAUAGAUGAUGAGGAAACGCCAUUUAAUACUGCUUUUAAUGGGAAGAAAGAUCUUAAUGCUUCCCCUGGCUUUGAUGGUAACAUCACAGAUUCAAGGAUCAGCGGAAUGAGCAUGAGCAUAGGUGGCCGGAGCCUUGCAAGUGAAGACUCAGAUGGGUUGACGCCAAGCGCUGUGUUCUCGCAGAUCAUGAACCCGAAAGGUCGAUGAGAUCAAAAGGGACUGCAUUUGCUACUCUACCAAAAUCUGCAAUUUUCCAUCCCCUGUCAAUCAUCAAAGGAAUUUUCCAUCCACUGUCAAGGC